Molecule: long non-coding RNA, 516 nt
Filed under: Serinus canaria (Common canary)
Lineage: Eukaryota; Metazoa; Chordata; Aves; Passeriformes; Fringillidae
Description: lncRNA (ENSSCAG00000004886.1)
Source: RNAcentral
GAAGGACCUUGCUGUCUCCCAGCUCCUGUGGGCAUUAGGUUUCAUAAAUGUCUCUUGGGAUGAGGACAGCUCUGUAGAGCCUAAGUUUCAAAGAUUGCACCCAAGAGAGAAUUAGUGAGAUGCACAGUGGGGAGAAUGAGCCCAGCAGUCCAUCCUGUCCUGUACCUGCCUGAAUAUGGGAAGAGACCUAGUACAAAGCCAGAAUGCAGCUGGGCUUGCACUAUUUUUAGCCAUAUUAAGUCCUGUUCAGAGUUAAUGAUGAGCUCAGUUAGGUGGUCUCAGCAAUGUUGAAGAAGGGAAGGACAGAAUUGGAAGACAGGAGCUAUUUCAAAGCAGGAUUCUUCAUCUUUCUGUAAUUCCCAAACAUGAAGAUUUUAUAAACUUCAUUAGGUAGAGUAUUGCUAAUAGUGUCAUGUCAGUAAUGUUGCAUGAUGUAAUAUGGCAUUGCUAUAUUGUUUAGUGAUCAUGUGGAGCUGCAUUAAAUAAAUGAACAUAUGCCAGUGGCUUAAAUGAACA